AACGCGAAGAACCUUACCUACUCUUGACAUCCUGCGAACUUGGUAGAGAUACCUUGGUGCCUUCGGGAACGCAGAGACAGGUGCUGCAUGGCUGUCGUCAGCUCGUGUUGUGAAAUGUUGGGUUAAGUCCCGUAACGAGCGCAACCCUUGUCCUUAGUUGCCAUCAUUUAGUUGGGGACUCUAAGGAGACUGCCGGUGACAAACCGGAGGAAGGUGGGGACGACGUCAAGUCAUCAUGGCCCUUACGAGUAGGGCUACACACGUGCUACAAUGGCGUAUACAGAGGGCAGCGAACUCGCGAGGGUAAGCAAAUCCCAAAAAGUACGUCGUAGUCCGGAUUGGAGUCUGCAACUCGACUCCAUGAAGUCGGAAUCGCUAGUAAUCGUGAAUCAGAAUGUCACGGUGAAUACGUUCCCGGGUCUUGUACACACCG
This 433-nucleotide ribosomal RNA is filed under the name uncultured bacterium. RNAcentral describes it as "bacterial SSU rRNA". It matches the Rfam family "Bacterial small subunit ribosomal RNA", at positions 958 to 1392 of the family's 1533-position model. The record is from RNAcentral.